This 253-nucleotide ribosomal RNA is filed under the name uncultured bacterium. Its description in RNAcentral is "partial 16S ribosomal RNA". It matches the Rfam family "Bacterial small subunit ribosomal RNA", at positions 524 to 776 of the family's 1533-position model. The record is from RNAcentral.
UACGGAGGGUGCAAGCGUUAUCCGGAUUUAUUGGGUUUAAAGGGUGCGCAGGCGGAAUGAUAAGUCAGUGGUGAAAACCUACAGCUCAACUGUAGACCUGCCAUUGAUACUGUCAUUCUUGAGUACAGUGGAAGUGGGCGGAAUGUAUCAUGUAGCGGUGAAAUGCAUAGAUAUGAUACAGAACUCCGAUAGCGAAGGCAGCUCACUAUACUGUAACUGACGCUCAGGCACGAAAGCGUGGGGAGCAAUCUUC